This 458-nucleotide ribosomal RNA is filed under the name uncultured bacterium. RNAcentral's name for it is "partial 16S ribosomal RNA". It matches the Rfam family "Bacterial small subunit ribosomal RNA", at positions 338 to 795 of the family's 1533-position model. The record is from RNAcentral.
CCUACGGGCGGCAGCAGUGAGGAAUAUUGGUCAAUGGGCGAGAGCCUGAACCAGCCAAGUCGCGUGAGGGAGUACUGCCCUAUGGGUUGUAAACCUCUUUUGCCGGGGAGCAAAAGCCGGACGUGUUCGGCUGUGAGAGUACCCGAAGAAAAAGCAUCGGCAAACUCGGUGCCAGCAGCCGCGGUAAUACGGAGGAUGCGAGCGUUAUCCGGAUUUAUUGGGUUAAAGGGGUGCGCAGGCGGAUUUUUAAGUCAGCGGUCAAAUCGUGGGGCUCAACCCCAUCCAGCCGUUGAAACUGGGGGUCUAGAGUGUGCGUGAGGUAUGCGGAAUGCGUGGUGUAGCGGUGAAAUGCAUAGAUAUCACGCAGAACCCCGAUUGCGAAGGCAGCAUACCAGUGCACAACUGACGCUCAGGCACGAAAGCGUGGGUAUCGAACAGGAUUAGAUACCCCAGUAGUC